Molecule: long non-coding RNA, 27488 nt
Filed under: Setaria italica (foxtail millet)
Lineage: Eukaryota; Viridiplantae; Streptophyta; Magnoliopsida; Poales; Poaceae
Description: long non-coding RNA (SITA_LNC005597)
Source: RNAcentral
AGCGCUUGGAAAGUUGAUCAAGACUCUCCCCACCAACCUACCAAAAAAAUGAACGGAUUAGAUAACUAGUAUACAACAACCACAAGGAAAAAUGACUGUCACUGAUUCAGAAGGAUUCAAGGUAGCUUUGGGAGGAGAAUGGAAGGUAGUUACAGGAAUUUCUUGGUUUCUGUCAUCUGAUGAGAAAGCCUUGUAAGCUUCAGGCUUGGUACUGACGGCAUCAUCAAACUUCAAACCGUGGAGAUCUCCCAUGUGCCUUUCUCUCAGUGACUGAUCAAACACCAGCUGAAACAAACAGUAGUUAAUUUAUUUAAAACAGCAAUUCGAAAAAUUAGCAUACAUUAUGGAGACAUGACAAGCAGUAAUUCAAGUUGUCCCAGAGGAUUCGUACAUUGGGUACAUGGCAAGCUAUUGCGAUAGUUUGUGCAGUCUCGGCAGCGCGCUUCAAAUCAGAGGAGUACACAGCAGCUGGCUUGGCUUCUUUGGACAACCGACGGGCAAGCUUCAGGUUUUUUUUAAUAAUUGAUAAAAUCAGAACCACGUAAAAGCAUGAUUCCGAGACAUAACCGCACAAAGUAUAACUACCAUGAUAGCUUGCUGCCUACGGAGUACCAGUCUCAUUCAGCUCCGGAUCCAUAAAGAGUUGAAUACCGAGCCUCGUGAAGGAGGAGAAAACUAAUGGAACAAUGGUGAGAAGGGACUUCUAUACUGAAGUCUGAAUUGCUGAUACUGUUAGCAACAAGCACCUGAUUCAACUGGAGGAGCCAUUUCAAGCAUAAUCAUUGAAAUCACAAAACAGUUUUGAAAAGAUCGAAUCAUCCGGAAAAAAGGAGGAUUCUCUUUUUCCUUCUUCCUCGGUACAAAUUGCAGGUGGAGAAGGACAGGGAGAGAACUGACCUGAAUGAUGCGGGAGGCGUUCCACGACGUCUCUUCAUGCCGCACCACCACCACCUCCGCGAAGUUCUCGCCGUCCUGCGAUGCAGGUGACAUUGCUCGAUGGGCGCUAGCCGCUGCAGUGAAGAGGAGAGGGACGGACCUUCCAUCCAGGUGCUUUUGUUCCAAUUGACUUUGGAUCCGAGACUAAAGUGUCUUUAGUCCCGGGUCAAAAAUGAUGCACCGAAGGCUACCGACGGAAGGGGCUUUAGUCCCGGUUGUAAAGACCAACUGGGACUAAAGCCUCCCCUUUAGUCCUGGUUGUAACUGCUAAAAGAUCUGGUACCGAUGCCACCCCUUUGUCCCAGUUGGUAAUUCCAACUGGGACUAAAUCUUUUGUUCCGGUUGAAUAGACCAACCGGGGCAAGGGGGCUUUAGUCCCGGUUGGUAGCUUCAACCGGAACAAAACGCCCUUCACGCGCCUCCUUCUCUUUCCACGUUAUCUUUCUCCUCACAUCCUUCCUUCCUUAUCCUCGCACAACACUCCUCUCCACUUCUUAUCCACCGACGCCUCCUCUCCUCUCUACUCCUUAUUCACUGGCACCUCCUCUCCUCCACUCUCCUCUCUGCGCUGCCGCCACCCCAUCCCCCUCUGCUGCCCCUCCCCUUCCCCCUCUGCUCGCCCCUCACUAGUAGUGAGCGACAACGGGGCGAGGGCAGGGUAGUGGCGCGCGGGGGAGCGGUGUCGACCAGCUAGAGGUGUCCCCAUGAGCUAAUGCGGCUGGGCAGCGGGUGGCCGAGCGGUGCCGGGCAGGCUGCAGUGGGCGAGGGCGGAGCGGAGGUGGACAGAGGUGGGUGGCGGCAGGUGAAGGCGGAGCCGAGGUUGUCGGUGGCGGAGCGGAGGCGGGCGGCGACUGGCGGAGGCGAGCAGUGGCGGAGCCGAGGCAGUGGCGGCAGGCGGAGGCCCAUUUUUUUUUAUUUUUUACCUUUUUAGUCCGGGUUGGUAAUACCAACCGGGACUAAAGGACGUCUUUAGUCCCGGGUGAAUGACUCAUGACUAAAGGACCUCCCCUUUUAUCUCGAAAACUUAGUCCCGGUAGGAUUUUCGUGAUCUAUGGCCCUAUCCAACCUGGACUAAAGUCGCAUUUUCCACCAGGGGCAGCAUCCGGAAGGCUGGAAUCACAACCACCUCUCUUGUCCUAUAUAUAUAAUUACCCCGUCCACUUGUCAUAUGUGUUCUUAAUAUUUCUCAUAGUUGACUGUAAUCUCGUCUUGGUUUAUUUAAGUUAGAAAGAAACACGGGAAGAGCAACAGCGCGUUAAUUGGUUUCUGCUCCAAGUCUAAAAGUCUUCCAAGUUUGUUGUACCAGAAUGCUGAUGAUUGCUAUUCAGCCAAGCAAACGAAACACGGUUGCAGAGUGAUGAUACAUCAAGUUCAUGACAUUUAUACUAGACCACACGCCCAAGAAAAUGCAAUGUAAAAACACGGAGAGGCGGAGGCGGUCGGCGGCCGCGGCGUGAGGGCAGAGACGGUGGACGCGGCACGAAUUGAAGAACCUCAAAACGCCGCGGCAAGCGGCAUUGUGGCCGUUGAAUGGCGGGGUUGUAGCCCUCAAGCCGCAUCCAACCAUCACCAAAUGCACUAUGCGGGAAGCCAUCUCCGGUGAGGUGUCCGGCGUCCCCGAACUUCUCCAGGAUCCAACGGCCAUCGGAACCGGAGAUAUGGACAACGCUGAUUGAGGUGUUAGGAAUUUUCUUGCCAACCGAGAUCGUUGGAUCGGCGUGCCUGCAGAUUUCCUCUAUGACUGCCUCAUGGGAGACGACGACCACCCGCUCACCUUUUAACGCAACACGCGACAGCUUGAAAUUCACCACCAGGUGCAAGUUUUGACCAUAUAGAGAGCACAAGAAAUUACUAUGUGGAUUAGUGCUUACCCUUGUGCUUCUUGGCGAUUUCGUUCAAGCGGGAAACACAACGCUCAGAAAGUUGAUCAAGACUCUCCCCGCCACCCUGUCCAAAGGAGAUGACUAGUGAGUAAUAUAUAGCAACCAACAGGGGAAAAGCAUGCCUAAGCCUAGCUUUUACUUCGACUAAGACUAAGUACAACUUUGAGAGGAGAAUGGAAAUUAGUUACAGGUAUUUCUUGGUCUCUGCCACCGCAUGCGAAAGCCUUGUAAGCUUCAGAUCUCUUGGCAUCGUCAAUGGUCCAACCUUGGAACAAUCCCAUGUGCCUUUCCGUCAGUGCCCGAUCAAUCACCAGCUGAAACAAACAGCAGCCCAUUUAUUCAUGAAGCGAGAAAAAUUAGCACAAACUAUUACUAGUAUUCAAAGAAUGUUCAUACAUCAGAAUCAGAUACGCAGCAAUGCUCUGCGAUCGUUUGCGCAGUCUCGGAAGCACGCUUCAAGUCAGAGGAGUAGACGGCAGCUGGCUUGGCUUCUUCCGACAGACGACGGGCAACCUUGAGGGUUUGAACAAAAUCAGAAUCACGUACAUAUCUCAAGUCAUGACGAUCUCACAAAGUAUGGCGUACCUUGGCAGCUUGCUGCCUACCAGUUUCGUUCAGCUCCUGAUCGAUCCGUCCCUGUUGAAACUUAAAAUAAGCCUUAACACAUGUUGUAUUGCAUCGCAGAGGGAGAAUCAUAUCUAAGUGAUGCGAUAAGUAGCAAGCUGUGACAGGACAGGAUGAAGAAGAAGCGACCUGAAUGAUGCGGGAGACGUUCCAAUCCGUCUGUCCAUGGCGCACCAACACCACCUCCGCGAAGUGCUCGCCAUGCGGCGAUGCAGGUGCCAUUGAUCGAUCGGCCGGCGUUAUUGCUGCAGAGGGAACGAAGGGGAGAUGGAUGGUCUUGCUCUAGCUGGCUUGCAGAGGUUCCUUGAAAUCUGGAACCUCUCUGCUCUCUUGUGCUAUAUGAUUGGCCAUCUGGGGCGACUUCAUAGGAGGCCAGAGAGGCCAGAGAGUAGAUUAUAAUUCGUGUACGUUUUGAAGAUGGAAAGAUGGCGACCUGCUAGUUGACUAAUAAAUUAGAAACACGGUUUGAUUUGGUUUGGUUUCGAGAGCAAUUUUGGUUUAGUUUGGUUUCAAGAGCAAUUUGAGCAACAACACCCAUUCCAACAGCAGGUUCGGCUUCUCCAGCAAGUACGUGGCCAACUAAGCUGGUCGGCGGACCAAAUUAAAGAAGCUAUCCACUUUCUUCUCCAUCAAGAUACCCUGUGCUAUAUAAUUACCCCCAUCCACAUCAAGAUACCCUGUGCUAUAUAAUUACCCCCAUCCACUUGUCAUCUGCGUUCUUAAUAUUUCUCAGAGUUGACUGUAAUCUCAUCUUGGUUUAUUUAAGUUGGAAAGAUAAUUGCCUGCUAUUUAAGAAAAAAAAACACGGGAAGAGCAACAGCGCGUUUGGUUUCUGCUCCAAGUCUAAAGUCUUCCAAGUUUGUGGAAUCAUUAGAAUGCUGAUGAUUGCUAUUCAGCCAAGCAAAGGAAACGCGGUUGCAGAGUGAUGAUACAUCCAAGUUCAUGACAUUUAUACUAGAGCACACGCCCAAGAAAAUGGCAAUGUAAAAACACGGAGAGGCGGAGGCAGUCGGCGGCCGCAGUGAGAGGUGUGCGAGCGCGAGGGCGGAGGUGGCGGACGCGGCACGAAUUGAAGAACCUCAAAACGCUGCGGCAAGCGGCAUCGCGGCCGAUGAACGGCGGGGUUGUACCCCUCAAGCCCCAUCCAACCAUCACCAAAUGCACUAUGCGGGAAGCCAUCUCCGGUGAGGUGUCCGGCGUCCCCGAACUUCUCCAGGAUCGAACGGCCAUCGGAAUCGGAGACAUUUACAACGCUGAUUGAGGUGUUAAGAAUUUUUCUGCCAACCGAGAUCGUUGGAUCGGCGUGCCUGCAGAUUUCCUCUAUGACUGCUCAUGGGAGACGACGACCACCCGCUUACCUGUUAACGCAACACGCGACAGCUUAAAAUUCACCACUAGGUGCAAGUUUUAACCAUACAGAGAGCACAAGAAAUUACUAUGUGGACCGGUGCUUACCCUUGUGCUUUUCGGCGAUUGCGUUCAAGCGGGACACAGCGCUCGGAAAGUUGAUCAAGACUCUCCCCGCCACCCUGUCCAAAAGGAGAUGACUAGUGAGUAAUAUAUAGCUUUUACUUUAACUAAGACUAAGGUCCCGUUUGGUAGGGCUUCUCAAAGUGCUUCUCCACCGGUUUUUGGUGAAGUCCUACUAAUGGGUCAAUUUCAAAACGGCUUCACCACCAAAGCCAGGGAGAAGCCGCAAAACGGCUUACACUAGAGAGGAGAAGCCAAAAAAAGUGGCUUCACCGGCUUCUCCUCCCUCUCCAAGCAUUAAGUGAUCAUAAAAUUACAUAUAUUGCCAUUGAGAAGCCGUUUUACCAAAUGUUUUGCAAAAUGGCUUCAGCUUCACUAAAAAAGCCACUCCACCGAAAAAGCCGAAGCCGAAGCGGAAAUUACAUAUAUUGCCAUUGAAAAAUUACUAUGUGGAUCGGUGCUUACCCUUGUGCUUCUCGGCGAUUGCAUUCAAGCGGGAAACACAGCGCUCGGAAAGUUGAUCAAGACUCUCCCCACCACCCUGUCCAAAAGGAGAUGACUAGUGAGUAAUAUAUAGCUUUUACUUCAACUAAGACUAAUUAAGUACAACUUUGAGAUCAGAGGAGAAUGGAAAUUAGUUACAGAUAUUUCUUGGUCCUGCCACCGUGAGCGAAAGCCUUGUAAGCUUCAGAUCUCUUGGCAUCGUCAAUGGUCCAACCUUGGAACAAUCCCAUGUGCCUUUCCGUCAGUGCCCGAUCAAUCACCAGCUGAAACAAACAGAAGUCCAUUUAUUCGGAUGAUAUAUAGAACACCAAUAAUUCGUGAAGCGAGAAAAAUUAGCACAAACUAAUACUAGUAUUCAAAGAAUGUUCAUACAUCAGAAUCAGAUACGCAGCGCGAGGACGGAGGUGGCGGACUAGGCACAAAUUGAAGAACCUCGAACGGCCGCGGCUAGCGGCAUCGCGGCCGUUGAACGACGGGGUUGUAGCCCUCAAGCCGCAUCUAACCGUCCACGGAUUUGGGCCAUUGAAUAGCUUAUUUUUUUUAAAGAACAGGAGGGUAAACCCCUACUGAUUAUAUAUUAAAUUGAAAGGAUACAAAGAAAAUGGCACAAAUCUAAAGAGAGAAAAUAAAAAAAAAGGAAGAGGAAGAGAAAAAGAAAAAAGGGAAAAAGACAAGCCUAGGAGUACAAGCUAAGAGAUUACAGAGUAUGUAACCAGACAUUCAUAGCAAGCACUAAAGCAGGGUGCGCUCUAUGGGGUAACAAGGAAAAUUCAGACAUGAAUUUCCUUUUGCACAAUUCCACUGAUGGAUUGAACAUCCAGUCAUUCCUAGUCAUCCAGAUGCUCCAUGACAUAAGAAUUAUGAUUUCCAUGAAGAAAGGAACAUGCUCCAUGACAUAAGAAUUAUGAUUUCCAUAAAGAAAGGAACAGCAAGCUUGUCCUUGAUUUGUUUGAAAAUCCGAAGGAUUGGUUUGGUGGUGAUAACUGAUACUCCAAUUGAAUUCCAGCAUGCUUUGGCAAAGUUACAUUGGAGGAAUAGGUGUGCCACAUAUUCCAUCUUUUGUAAUAUACAUAGUUCGCAAGUGUAGGAGUCAAGAUCCAUUUGUUUCCUUCUCAAUAUAUCUCUUGUACUCAGACGAUCUUUGAGCAAUAACUAGAAGAAGACCUUGUGUUUGAUCUGACAUUUAGAUUUCCAAAGUCAGAAAUAUGCUGGAUGGGUAUUCCUCUACCCAAUGAUAGCCUUAUAUGCUUUGGAUGUUGAAAACAUUGAAUUGCCCCAAAUGUAUGUACACCUAUCAGGUUCUUGUACGGUAUUCAUGCCAUCAAUGAGUUGUUGCAGGAUAUGGUAUUCAUGCCACCAAUGAGUUGCUGCAGGAUAAUAAAUUGUGAAUGUGCCUGGGUUGUUAGGGGUAAGUUGAAAUUCUGGAUGAAACUUGGUUAGUUGACAGCCGCUUUGAAGGUGAUGUUGUAGUCUUUGGCAAAUGAGAUAAGCUCCGGAUGAACCUGUGAUUGCACUGCUCCAUUCCAAAAGUCUUUUCAAAAGAGUACUGUGGAGCCUUCUGCCACUAGAACUGAAGCAAUUCCUUUGUAUGUAUCCAAUAAUUUGACUACAUCCCUCCAUCAAAAGGAGCCUUUUCUUUGCUAACCCAGUAGUCGACCAUUAGCAUAGUAAUUUUCCCAUACAAUGUUGACCCAAGGAGUGUCAACCUUGGAGAAGAACUUGUGCAGGAACUUUAGCAACAUAGCAUCAUUAUGUGUAGCAAGAUUGAAAACUCCCAAUCCACCUUGUUUCUUAGGCAAACAUACCAAAGGCCAAGCAGCUGUGGAAGGCUUCUUGGAGUUCAUGUCUGAUCCCCUCCAUAAGCAGUAUUUCCUAUAUUUGUGCAAUUUUAGCGUUGAUGUAUAGAAAACUACUGAUGAAGAGAAGACCGAGUUAACCAUCUCCAACUUGCCAACUUGACUCAAAAAAAGGGACAUGUUGCUUAACCUCUUUUCUAUCUUUUGUAUGAGGGGCAGAAAAUUUUCCAUGUUAGGCUUGGUGGUUCCUAGGGGCAGUCCCAGAUAUGUGAAGGGGAGAGAACCUUUUUGACAGUUAAAAGUUGUGGCAAGAUUCUCAAGAUUUGCUUCAGAAAUGUUUAGGGGUACUAUAGCCGAUUUACUAUAAUUGACCUUCAGUCCAGUGGAGGCAGCAAAGGUGCUAGGAAGGUCUUUGAGGAAUAAGUGCUGGUUUGGGCAGGCCUCCAUAACAAGUAGGGUGUCAUCUGCAUAUUGGAUAAUUGGAAAAUUUGUCCCUGCUCUUUCUGGAAUUGGUAGUUUAAGAAAUCCUUGGUCUUUGGCUCUAUUGAUGACUGAUUGAAGUAGGUCUGGUGCCAGGACAAAAAGAAGAGGUGAGAGGAGAUCACCUUCCCUUACUCCUCUUCUGAAGUGAAAGACUUUCCCUAGAACUCCAUUCAGAAGAAUUGAAGAUGUGUCUGAUCCUAGUAUGUCUUUGAUCCAAUUAAUCCAUCUAUCCCCGAAGCCUUGUGUUUUAGAAUUUGUAGAAUGUUCUGAUGUUCCAUCUUAUCAAAGGCUUUUCCAAAGUCUAGUUUCAGAAUCACUAAUUCUCUUUUAGAGGCCUUGCAGAUAUGUAGAUAUUCAAUGACCCAAGCCAGAUAGUCGUGUAUAGAUCUUGAUCUAAUAAAACCAUAUUGAUUUUUGUGGAUGAAUCUUAGGAUGACCUGCUGUAGCCUGUCUACAAGUAGCUUGGUGAGUAGCUUAAUUGUGGAGUUCAGGAGGGAAAUUGGUCCAAAGUCUCCAACUAAGGAUGGACAGUUCUUCUUGGGGAUCAGGAUGAUGUAUGAAGCAUUGAUGCUUCUUAGACAUAUAUUUCCUUCAAAAAAAAUCCUCACGGAGUUUGUAGAAGUCUUGAGAAAUUAGGUUCCAGCACUUCUUUAGGAACUCUACAUUAAAGCCAUUAGGUCUUGGGGACUUGUUGUUAGGGAGCUCUGUAAUUAUCUUAUUAAUUUCUUCUUAGGUAAAUGGACUUUCUAACCAGUCCAUAUUGUUGUCAACCCGAAGUAGAGAGUCAAGGUCAAAGUACAUGUGUGUAAACUUUGAGGUUCCUAUUCUUCCUUUAUAAGCGUUCCAGAGCAUUGCUGCCUUGGCUUCAUGGUCAAACACCUCACUUCUAGAAUCAUCUGUCAGAGAGGUAAUAGUGUUCUUCCUGUGUCUGAUCGACGCAUUGGCAUGGAAAAACUGAGUACACUUGAUGGGUCCAUAGACCCGGGGUUCCCAAUGGGCCUGCUUUUGCACAACACCUGGCCCAACGAGAGGUGCAGUGAUAAUGCACGCCUGGGCCGGCCCAAAUACGUGACGCCAGGCCGAGACCAUGAUCCAGCCACCGACCUGCAAUUCCGACUAGGAGGCCUGGUCGACGCCCCGACCAGAAGGCCUGGUCGGGGGCGGGACCACAGUCCGACUCCGACCAAGUUCCCCCAACUAGGGACACGCCAGACCUACGCAUACCACUCCUUCCCGACUGGCACGGUCGGGACUAUGGCGGAACUACCCAAAUUAACCUGACUAAAAUGCACUUAAGUCAUCUGACACGCGAUCAUGCACUUUAACCAAGUCAACUUGGUCAUCCGUUGGAUUUCAUCCGAUAAACCACUUACUCAGGAUCGAGAAGCAUUGCUCACAUGAAGGUGAGUGGCACAAAGAUUACAACAUUCCUAUCACAUUAACAUAGUUUGGAAGGUUGUAAACAACGAAGAAGUAAAACAAGCGGAAGCUACCCGACGAUACAUAAUACCAUGGAGAAGCCGACCAUGAUAUCAAUGACCCCUGUCCUCGCCAUCCGAGGAGGGAUCCCACUCGACUAUCCAACCCGGAGGGAGCUGGGUAGGCCAAGUGGUGCCAGCAGCCAAACUAUCGACAUUACCUGAAAAGUUAUGCCACAAGCAAGGCUGAGCAACUAAUACUCAGCAAGACUAACCUAAUAGGUGAUAACUAUUCACCGACUCCUAGACAUGCAAAACUUUUUGGUUGUGGGUUUGUUUUUGCCAAAACACCUAAAGUUGUCCUUACUUUCAACAUUUUAGCUCAAGUUCUAUGUUCAUUAACCAGACUAGAUUAGCAACUUAUACUAAACAAGCAUAGUUUCCAAACAAUUAAAGAACAAGCAUCAAGAUUAAAGUCAUCAUCAUAUUCCUUCUUUACUCAGUGCAGAAUAACGAUCAAGCAGUCCCAAACUAUGAGAGGCAGAUGAAUUAAUUUGAAUUUAUUAACCAUGCAUGGAGAACCUAAUCUCACGACAUCCGCGCACCACGAAGGGUCGCUUCACUUGUCAGCCGUCCCCAUCGAUCCCUAUGCACGUGUCAGGGCCAAACUUCCCUGGCAUGCAAUGCUGCACAGUCCCGGUCUCUUGUCGUACUGUGACGGCACUUGCACCCACAUGAUGCACCAUGGGAACCUCGUUCCAGGGACAGCAGGAGUAUAAGACACGCCCCAGUUCAAUCAGGUACUAGGCUUCCCUAUCCCAUACUAGGUAUGAGAUUAGUACUUUCAAACACUUGAUCAUGAACGCUGACAUGUUUUGACCUUAGCAAGUUCAUUACUAGACAGACAGGGCAAACCACCACAUUGGAACCAUUCCCGGUCCCGUCCGUCAUCCUUAUAGUUGUAGUAUGAGAAAACAAACAACUCCUAUAACUCGCGAGUGACAGGCAAUCACUCGACUUUUGCCAAGUCCUAUUUAGCACAACAACUACUCGACCUUAGCAACUAGUGUUCAGAUCAAAGGUACUAAAUUCAUGCAUCUACAGUUUCAAUCAACUCCUACAAACGUAAAUGCACAAUCAUAAUCAUCAAUAUAUUGCAUAAAUUUAAAACAGGGAAGCAUGCACCGGGGCUUGCCUUCAGGUUUAGAAAAAUUUAGCGGGUCUUCGGGGUCUUGAUCUAGCUCGGGCUCAACUUCCGUGUGAUGUAGCUCUGCGGCGUGUUCCUCUUCCAGUGUAGGGUGGAGCUCGUAGGUUCCGUCAGCGAUAUUAGCUUCUACACGACAUGCACAUGCAGAGAGUUCAAUUUUUCAUGCUUUCAUACGAAUGAUGUAAGACAUGACUUAUUGCUGAAAUGAAAGUUGCAUUUCGACCACAUUCACCUAAACAAGGUUUCAAAUUUCGUUACCUUCAUGAAGUAAGGUGUGUUGUGGUUUAAAACUAAGGGUUGACUUUGAUGGUGAUUGUGUACAUAUAUAAGAUUUCAUAACUUAGACUUCACAAGGAAAGUGAGGGUCGCUUUUAGGAUUGUUCGGGUUUCAUUUGGAAAGUCAUUUAUUUCUGAAUGUUUUUAUUGUACCUCUUCCAAAAAUCACCAAUUAAGUUUACUAGGACUUAACAUUUCCUUACUCAUUUAAACCGAUUCCUCAUCCAAAAUUUGUUUCCACAAACCAACACUAGCAUAUGACAUUGAGAAAUGAGCAGUACCUCACUCAUGUCAUCAAUGAGUUACUGUAAAAAUUUGGGAUCCAUUGAAUUAGCACAAAAAGAAUUAAAAUUACUUUAUUACCCAAGGGUAGCAUGCACUUAACCAUUUUUAUCUCAAAACCUACAGUGAUUCCGAGGGUGAAACUUUAACAGUGGGUUGAAGGUGUGUUAUAGAGACUUUGGUGAAUUUUUCAUGAUUUGUGGUGAAGGACAACUAUUUCCCAUAUUUUACUCCUAUUAUCUUGAUCUAAAAAGGAAAGUGGGUUUCAUCAAGCUUUAGUCAAGGUUUCAUAUUUUCCAUGUGAACUAAGCUUCAAAACUAAGCUACUCCAAGUGAUUUCAUAUUUUUCUCAGCUCUAGAUUAAAACUUAUGCAAAAAGAAAGAUUUAACCCUAGAUUUCAAAUAUAAAGCUAAAACAGUGAGUUAAAGUUCUACUCCAGGGUCUUCACUAUUUUUCCAAGCUUCCAUACUUAGAAACAUACACCAUAGAGUUGGAUUUAUCUUUUUAGUAUUUUUCUUUGAUUUACUAUGAUUUAAAAGGCCUAAGCAAGAAAUGAAACUAUAGGGUCUUAUUUCCAACAGUAACAUGGGCAAGAUUAUUUUUGUAUGAAACUGGAUAGUUCACUAAGUCCAACAAAAUUUAUUUGGCAUUUUCUAAUUUUUCUACGAUUUAUGGUGCAUUUACAAAGUUUAUUCUAUUUUCUAUCAAUUUAAAACAAUUAACCGAAAGAACUUACAAUCUAACCCUCGCGUCUAAGGUUUAAUCGUGCAGUGUUCUCUAGUUCUUGUGCUAAGGCCCCUAGAAAAAGAUAAAAGACACAGGGAGGCCCCUAGCGGCGGCCGUCGCCGAUCUUCGCCCGAUUUCGGCGAUGCAAGGCUUGGGCCUGGGCAAGAAGCUAUUGGGGAGAAGCGCGUUCUCACCUAGGGUCAAUUGGCGGCGGUUAGGACGUCGGAGAGGGCUCGGUGAAGGCGGAACGCCGUGGGGACGAGGAGCGGGUCGUGGCGAUGGUCCUCAAGGUGUUCCGGUGCCGGUAGUGCUCCGGGAGGGCAAUGGGCAGCUCGGGGACGUGCGUGGUGGAGCGGCGGAGCGAGCGGCGGUCUCGAUGGGGCGCGGGGCGGCACGGAGGUGGGGCUCCACGGGAGACCCGAGCGGCAGCCCAAGGAAAAUAGGGGAGCGGUGGUGCUAGAGCUAGCGGAGGGCGGUGUAGGCGGCACCAUAAGUCCUUUUAUAGGGCCAGGGGGAGCGGCGGGUCGAGGCGGGGCUCCGGACGUGGGAAGAUAAGAUCGGAGGGGCGCUGUGGGCUGCGGGUCGAAGCUCCAUUGGCGGCGGCGCCAUUGGUCGGGGUGCGGAGGCCGUGGGAUAGGAUCCCUCGGUCAUUGGCCUUGAGGGAUUCGAAGCGUGCAUGUAACAACCCUAGGUUAGCUAAACCCUGUUUAAACUUAAAUGAAGCAAUUAACAGCUGAUUAAACAAGUCAAGGGUCAACUUUGGCCCCUAAGAGCUUAAAUAUGUGAUUAAGUCAUAAGUUAAAUUUUUAUAUAACAGCCUGAAAUUUUAUCCAACUAAGAGUUGUUAAACUCAUCAUUUCUAACAACUUUUAUUAUAAGCAUUUUGUUUGAAAUUGAGUAGAAGAGAUCCAAAAACUCAGUUUAAAAUCAGAGGCUUUUCAAAUCACUCAAAAUCCUAAGUGCUGAAAGGCAUGAAAAAGUCCCAACUUUGGGGCUCUUUAUUUCAAAAUUUCUAAUAUAAAAUCAAGCUGAGCUCUAUACACAAGUUUUAGAACUUCAAGUGCUUAAUAACUUUGAUUUUUGGAGCUAGGCCAAAAUCUGCACAAAAGUUUUCAAACUUUAGGUCAAACACAGCCAGUUUGGUCAACACCGUCACACUCUGAAAAUCGUUCCAAGUCUGAAGUUUUCAGUUUUUGCCAAACAUUGAUGCAUUUUAUCUCCAAAACCGUUUGGAUUUUGAACAAAAACUUUAUGAAUAAAGUAAACUAGGGUGCUAGGCCUACAAGUUUUGUAAAGGAGGGUAGGGGCGAGCAGUUCAAAAAUUGGUAGUAAAUCAAGCCCCAAGACCGGUCCUCCGGCAUUUUUCGCGUUCCCGCCUAGCGUCAGAGAACGCACGCGCCAGAGCCCGCACCUCGCCCGCCGUGUGGCUCCACCUCACCGGCGAGCCCCGUCACCCAACCUGCGGCCGUGAGCUGACCCGACAAGCGCCGCCUCGCCUAAUAGCCUCGCUUGCCGCGACAGCCUCGACGCGCGCCUACAGUCGGUCGCACGCCCAGUCACCCGGCCCUCUGCUACGGGUGCAUGUCCCCGCACGCGCCGCAGACCGUCGCCGCCACUUCGCCCAACGCCCUCCCGCGACAAGAUGCCACAAGAGCCGAGCCUUGCCAAUGCGCCUCCCUAACAGCCCCGCUCAUUCGCGCACGCGAGCUCUUGCCCUAUCCUGCCGCACCGCCCGUCGGCGGCAAUGGCCACUGCCGAGCCUCGCCAAUGCGCCUCCCUAACAGCCCCGCUCGUCCUCGCACGCGAGCUCCUGCCCUAUGCUGCCGCACCGCCCGUCGGCGCCAAUGGCCGCCGCCAUGGCCGGUCCACCCGGCAGCACGCGCCUUGCCCCACUCUUCGGCUCCAGCUACAGACGCGUGCCUCGCCGCGGCUAUAAUACGCCCACCAGCCUGCCCGCACUCCCUUUCACAGCUCCGCGCACCCGCACCGCCGGAACGCCCACCUGAGCACGCCGCCGCCUAAGCUCCUCCAUGGAGAGCUAGCCUCCGCCGUGCGCCACCCCUCACCGGUGCCCCUAGCCACUUCGCCGCCACCUCGCGAAGCUGCUGCGCUUGCCCAUCUCCGCCGCCCAGACCCAGCCCCGCCGGAACACCAACGCCACCGCCCGCCGCCGCAGCCGAGCAAGCCGUCUCCGCGUGCUGCCACCGUCGGACCGCCCCGCCGCCCGCAACCGCCUCAAAUCAGUCGCAGGUGAGCCCCUGCGCCUCCCCGACCUCUUGUCACCCCAAUCCCGCUGGCUAAUCGCCGGAAUUCCGACCGGCCACCGCCGCCGGCCCGCCGAGGACUCGAUUGCAUUUGAAAAAUGCGAAUUAGGGGUCUCUGUGAAGUUUUGUUACAACCUAUGGGUGAUUAGUUGAAAACCCGAGGGCCCAACCGUAAGUCUACCUGAGAAAACCCGCGCGAGGACCUGUUUGUGUAUAGCGAGGGCAUGGUUGUGAAAUCCGAAAGUUUCUGAGGGCCUAGUUGCAAAUACGUUUCGGUUUAUAUUUUUAUAUCGGCAGAAUAUAUGUUUAACUUUGAAAAUUCACCAAAAUUCGUAGAAAAUUCAGCAAAAAGUCAAACCAAUUUUGCUAGACUCAGUAUAAGAGUAGUUUUUAAUAAAAAUACUUUUGGCACAUGUCUUUGUUAGAAUUAAAUUUAUAUGAUUUAAUCCUUGUUUAAGCUAUUUAAAUCAUAACAAAUCACAGAAAAAUGCUAAAAAGGGUAAAUCCAUUUCCCAAGUGGUUGUUUCAGAUAGUAGAAGCUUGGAAAAAUAAUUUUGGAGCCCAUCUCAGAUGUUUAAAUCUCUAUUUUAGUUUUAUCAUGUGUAUCUAAGGUUGUUUUCGUCUUUUGCAUUAUAAUUAAACCAGAGAUGAUAAAAAUAUGAAACAAAGCGUAAUAGGUCAGUAGUGUAGUAUAGUUUGUAGGAAAAACAUAGAACCUGAUUAGAAGCAUCAGAAAAACCACCUUCCUUUUUAGGGAGGAAUAAAUAGGGUAAAUGUAUAGAAAAAGAUGCCCUUCAUUAAAAAUUGUGAGAAAUUCACUAGAGGCUCUAUUUCACCCCUGGAACCUACUGUUAAAAUUUCGUGAUCAGUUUCAUCUUGGUUUCUGUUUUAAUAAUGUUUAAGUAUAUGCUACCUUAGGGUAAUUGAGUAAUGCUAAUUCUUUUCAUGCACCUCCAAUGGAUCUCAAACUUAUGCAGUAUCUUAUCCUUGCCAAAGUUAAGUUACUGGUAUAUUUUCAGCUUCAUAGCUUGCUGUUAAAGAUGGAAAUAAAAUUGCAAGAUGAGCCUAGCUAAAUGAAAGAAAGAAACCUUAAUUAAUGAUAAAGGUAUUUUUUUAGGAGAGGUACAAAAGAACAUUCAGAAACAGGAUAACUUUCCGAUCUAAAGUUUAACAAGAUAGUGCAUAUAUGUACACAAUCACCAUCAAAUCAACCCCAGGCUUGUACCACACCCCACCUUCCGCGUGUAGAUAAAGAAGGUGUAAAACCUUGUUCAAGUGAAUGUGGCCCUAAUAUAACUACUUCUUCAGUACUAACUCGUGUUUUACAUCCUAUGAAAAAGUUUGGGAAUUUUUAACUUGAUGCAUUGCAUUUCGUGUAGACCUGAACCUCGCUGACGGGACUUACGAGCUUCACCCGGCGCCAGAAGGAGCCAUAGCGGAUCUGCAGCAAGUCAGAGCCGAGCCCGUACCAAAACAAGCCGAGGACCAGUUCGCUAACUCCCCGUGUGAAGGCAAGCCCCAGAGCAUGAAUUCCUAUCUUUAAAUACCUGCAAUACAAUUGAUUGCUUUGAUUGCGCAUUUACGUUCUAGGAGUUGAUUAACACCGUAGAUGCAUGAAUUUAGUACCAUUGAUAUGAACACUAGUAUAUUAAGUCGAGUAGUUGCAAUACUUAAUAGGACUCGAUAAAAGUCGAGUAAUUUCCUGUCACUCGCGAGUUAUAUAAGUUGAUUGCUUUACUUAUGUUGCAACUAUAAGGACGAUGGACGGGGAUGGGCUUAUGUUUGGUACUCGGUGGUUUGCCCCGUCUGUCUACAUGAAAUUGGACUAAGGUCGAGAUUUGAUAGUGUUCGUGAUCAAGUAUUUGAAAGUACUAAUCUCAUACCUAGUAUGGGAUGGGGAAGCCUAGUACCUGAUUGAACCAGGACGUGAGCGGAUCGUUCCACUGUCUCUGGAAACUGAGUUCUCCCCUGAUGCAUCAUGUGGUGACAAGUGCGGUCAUAGAACGGCGGAGGCCUGGUCUAUAGAGCCUUGUACCAAGGGAAGUGGGCCCGACACAGGUUUGGGAAUUGAUGGGGGUGGCUGACAAAUGAAGUGACCCUUCGCGGUGCACGGAUGUCAUGGGAUUAGGUUCACCAUACAUGGUUAAGAAAUUCGAAUCGAUUCAUCAGCCUCUCACAGUUUGGGAGUACUUGAUCGCUAUGCUACACUGAGUAAGAAUGAAAGAUAGUGAUGACCUAAUAUGGUUACUUGCUAUUAAUUAUUUGGAAACUAUGCUUGUUUAGUAUAGUUGCUAACUUAGAUUGGUAAAUGAACAUAGAACUUGUGGCUAAAAUAUUGAAAGUAAGCACCUACAUUAGUCGCUUUUGGCAAAAACAAACCCUAGAGCCAAAAAGCUUGCAUGUCUAGGUGUUGGUGGAGUAGUACCACCGGUCGGUUAAGUCUUGUUGAGCGUAGUCGCUCAGCCUUGUUGUGGCAUAUCUCUUUUCAAGUGAUGUUGAUACCUCUGAGUUCGAUGCAAGUGGCACUUGGCCUGCCCAACUUGCUCCGGGUUGGACGGUCGAGUGGGAUCCCUCCUCGGACAGCAAGGAUAAGGAUCAUUGAUGUCAUGACCGGCUUCUUCAUGAAGAUCAUGCAACAAUGUCUAGCUUUCGCUUAUUUAUUUCCGCUGCUUGAAAACUCUGCAAACUUGUUGAAUUUCGGAACUCAUGUUAUAAUAAUUCAAUGCACUUUGUUAAAUCUGGAUGGACUGUUGUAAUCUCUGUAACCACUCACCAUCGUGUGAGUCUUGCUUUAUCGAUCCUGAGUUAAGUGGUUUAUCGGAUGAAAUCCGACGGACGACCAAGUUGACUUGUUUAAAGUACAUGAUCGCGUGUUAGGUGACUUAAGUGUGCUUUAGCCAUGUUAAUUUGGGCGGUUCCGCCACAGCGCAAGCGUGGCUUUGCCGCGGUCGUGGGUUGUGGAGCGAGGCACUCGUGCGGUCACUGUCCGGGCAUCGAUAGGCGAACGGAGCUUGGCCGGUCCGAGGCGGUGGCGUGGCAUCCUCUGGCGGGCGGAGCUAGCUCAAGACGGGGCGAAGGGCAUGCGUGGCAUCAGGGAGCGGGAUAAGCGCGCUCGCCUACUAGGCAGCCGAGCGCGCGAGUUGUUGUGUCGCGGCCGUCGGUUGGGCGACGGUGAGCUCGCCAGUUGAUGGCGGCCACGCGGCGGGUAGCGUGCGGGAACGCGCGUCGCGGCGCACUCUGGCCGAGGGCGUCGCAAGGUAGGGGGAAAAGGCUAGGUUUGGGGGAUUUUUGUUAAAACUUUUUCAAAAGAACCCGUGAAACUCCAAAAGUAAAACAUGUAGUCCUAACGUCCAGCUCCAAACUUUACAAAAAGAGUUUGCUUAAAUUCGAUAUGGAUUUGAACCUAUGGAUUUGCAAAGUUCGGCAGAACGUCAGCCUCCUAGGACUUAGACAGAUUUUGGUUUUGCUGUUUUUAAGCAUUUUGGCCAACUUUGGCUCAGAUUUUGAGUAGCUUCCCAUUUGAAUCAUGCCAAGCUAUAAUUGAAGGAAUUGUUCUUCGAUCUUAGGACUCCAACUCCUAGUAAGGACUUUUCUCAGGUUCAGUUCAAUUUUUAGGAGAAACAGGCUUGCCAACAUGCGUGCUCUGGGUGUCCUUCCAGACUUAGCGCAGAAAAGCAUUUGUGCUAGCUUGACUAUUUUGAGCGACAUUGACCAAGAUUUUGAAUAGGUUUGGUUGUGAAUUAGACUUGGGUCAGUAUAACAAAGUUGUAACACACUCGCGGAACUACAACUUCUAUUAGGGGUUUGACUCGAGGUUAGAUAUAGAAUUGUGAGAUAAUAGGUUGCAAAGUAGAGGAAAAACAUGAGUUCCAGGACUUACGUUAUUUGCAGGAUUUUGAUGUACUCCUGAUUUGACUCUUAUUUUUGACCUUCUUCCACUCCAAAUUAGCCGAUGUGUUAUUAAUAAAAUUUGUUUGAAAUUAAAAGUUUUACAACUCCUAUUUGGGCAAAAAUUCAAGUUUGUAUACAAAAACUCAAGUUUCCUAUUUAACCCCAAAAGGAGAUUUUUAGGGGCAAAUUGGACAUUUCACUUCUUCUACUUAGUGACUAAUGACUUUAUUAAGUAUAACUACACCUAAUUAAGGUAGAAUUGUUACAGGGAUCGACCAGGACAACUGACAGGGGAUGCCCACUUGGUGUGGACCCAGGGAGUAGGUUAAGCAGAUAAAGGAAAACACAAAGGUCAACCACUGUACAGAGGACCAUACCUAGCCAUGCCCUGCGCAAACGCCGCACAGUGCCACCGUGCAAUGUCAGGCGAACACUGUGCUACCUGACCGUCACAACGGAGCAUGAACAAGGAUGGAGUGCGAUGGUCAUACUGUACCCGGCGACGUGGGCAACGACAAGACUAGGCAGCGCUCGUACUCUCUCUCUCUCUAACUUGUAAGGCUGUCCCCUUGGACUAUAAAAGGGGAUGGGCCCUCUCUCUCCCAAAUAGGUGAAGCGUCCCCACAUCAGCGGAGACUAAAUGUGAUAGAAAUAUCAGUCCCAGGAGGCUGAUAACACAUUUAUUCGACAGAUGGUUCAAAAACCGUACAACUCCCGAAGGAGCGGGCGGGCAAGCCACACCCAAAGAAGAACUAAACCAAUAACGAUACAAAUCCAAGUUGCAGUCCAGUCGGACUCCGGGCUGCAAUCGGAACUAAGCGUCAGCGGAAGCAUUCUGCAAAAGCCAACACCACAGGCAGCGUUGGGUGCGGACACGACCUCCUACUCGAGAUCCUUGGCGAUGUAGUCUGGGUCUUCCUCUGAAGCAACAAAACAAGGGUGAGUACGAAGGUACUCAACAAGUCCAACCCCAUCCACGGAGGGGGAUACAAACAAGAGUAUGCACAGGAUAUAACAAGGAUAAGGUUAAGGUUCAUUUGCAACAAAGCUAGAUUUUCAACACAUGCAGAGGUUCAUUUCCAAAAGAGUUUUUGCAAAGCAUUUCCUUUAUUAACCGAAACAUUAAGUGGGGUUGAUCCUACACAAAGGAUCCAAAUUUUAUUGCUAUCGGACUCCCCGUCCGCCAUAGCUCAUGACACAACUGCCGGACACUUCCAAAGUCCAACACACGCCAUAAAAACCAUCCAUCUCCAAGUGCUAGUUAUGUGACCAAGCCGUAACUCGUCCAAUCCCAUGGACACAGCUACCCGGAUAGGUUUUAACUCUGCAGAGGUUGUACACUUUUCCCUCAAGUAGGGUACCGCAGUACGAUCACCUUAGUGCCAGUGCGAAUCCUAACAAAGCCAUUACCCACCUUAGCUAAGAAUGACUAGUCCACACGGAAGCAACCAAGGGGUUAAUGACAUACCAACGAGGUUGUAACCGGGACCUAAGUCACAAAGAUCUUACUCCUUUUUCAUGGGCUGCCGUUGCUCACUAGCUCACCCGAAGACUAACAGUUUAGCUAGUGGGAUUUAUGCUAAGCCGUUGCCGCAUACAAUGGAGUGGUUGCACGAAGGUUGGGUUAGGCAAGAUGACACAUUAACUUGGUCCUUAACCAUGACAAGAUGGAUAUCUCCCAACCUUGCUCAAGCACCAAGGUACGAGCCCAACAUAUUGGCAUUUCACACCUGAAACACCCAUCCAUCUCAUCUAAGCAUUUCUUUCCUUUACUUCCAAAAAACCCAAUUUCCCUUUUUAAAAUACUCACACAUUUAUUUUUUAACAAAACACAUUAUGGUCAUGACUGAAUUGAGUAACAAGGUCCUAAGCAUUCUAGCAGUAAUUAUCAUCCAAACAGAGCAAGUCAUAUUUAGAGAUAGUUAUAGGACAAGCAAGGAAUAAUCAUAACAAUCAAGGGGUGGCUAUCCAACCAUGUUUCGGCGGUAAAAUAAUAUGCAAUUUAUAAAAUAGGCCAAUAUGUUGUGUUUGAAAAACUAGGAUAAAUAUGCAUCAAAGGGUGAGAUUGGACUUGCCGUUCUCAAAGCCUUCCGGGAGUUCCUGCUCGCGGUACUGGUCCUCGGGCUCGGGCUCAUGGUCAAACUCCUCCUCAUGCUCCUCCUUGGGUACUCCACGAUCUAAGCACACACAAUCGAGCACACAAUAAAUAAAAGAGAAUUAAAAAUUUUCCCAUUGAGCUACGAACAGAGAAUGCGAACGGAAAAUUGAAGGAGUGAGCAUUUUCAUGAAAUUUGGAUAUGCCUCAGUGGAAGUAUAUGGGAGGAGGCCGUGAUCGAAUUUGGGAUCAAUUGGAGGAAGUUUGGCGCAUGAAAUGAUGAGUUAAAGGAGUGUUAGGGGCUUAAAUCAAGGUUUAGGACUAAACUGCGAGAACUAGGGACCUAUUUGUAAUAAUUUCCGAAAGGUGGAAGGGCGUAUCCGUGAGAUUUCUUUGAGAGAGGUGGGAGGGCUGGUUUGCAAAUAGGGGAAACUAGGAGGUUAGAUCGAAAUGGAGGCCUUCUUCUUCCUUGGGCCGAGACAGAGAGAUUGGAGGGGAGGGAAACCGGUGGGGGGGCCGGCCGGCCGGGCCUCACCGGCGGCAAGCUGAGUGGUGGGGGAGGUAGAGGGGGACGAGGGCGUCCCGUUUGAGGUUUCACCUCGGGCGGAUGGUGGCCGGAGAUGGGGCGUCGGCGGCGGGCAAAGGAGGCGGCGGCGGAGCUCCUGACAGCGGCGCACAGGGCGGUGGGGAAGGGGGUGACGAGCUAGGGGGGAGAUGCUGGUGGUGUGGGGAGGCGGCAGGGGCUCGGCCCCCUUUUUAUAGGCGGCGAGGAGGAGCUCGAUGGCCAGCGGCCUUCAAUGGUGGCCGAGAAUCCCGGUCGGUGGCGUGCCGGAGCGGAGCUCCACGUGGACGGCGUGGUGGGGCUGGCUCGGUCGACGAGGAGCACAGGAGGCACACAGGGGUGGUGGCCGGCGUGGCGUGCGGCCGGUGCUCAUCGGGCGGGGCCGGCCAGGCGCAGGCGGUGGCGUGCGGCUCGACGCGCGAGGCCGGGCGCGGGCGCGGAGCCGGACUAGGCGCAGGCGCGGGGCCGGCACGGGCCAGGCGCAGGAGCCGGGGCCGGGUGAGCGGUGCCAGGCGCCAGACGCCAGGGAGGCGGCGCUAGGGAGAGGAGAGGAAAGAGAGGAGGAGGGAGGAGGAAGAAGGAAGAAAGAGAAGGAAGGAAGGGAAAAAAGAAAAGGGGGAAAAGGAAAAGGAAAAAGGGAAAUCGGCGAUAGUUGCGGAAUUGGUCGGGCACGCGUGACGGAUUUGACGAGCACGCGGCUAAAUUUGCGGGGAACGGAAAAAGAUGAUUGUCGAUGUUGGGUGCCGGGAUGGCGGGUCGCCGAGAAGGAAAAGAUUUUUCGGGAGCUCAAUGGUCGAAAGAUUUUGAAAUAAAUUUUUUAGCGGGUGAUUUGAGUUAGUAAAUUUUACGGACAUUACAAUAGGCCAUACACAUGAGGCACAUCAAAAACCCUCUGAUUCUCUCCAGCACAUAGCACACGCUUUAAGCCCCCCGUCACUCUCUUCCACUUGGACCAGAGCACGACCGGGUCUCGGACACCCCCUUCUCACCCCCAACUCGUUUGUACCCCAACUACAAACUUGGAGCACCUGGGCUUAGGAAUACAGUCAACCAACUGACCUCGAACUGAACGUAGGUCACGUAGCCCGAACCAGUAUAAAACCUGUGUCAUUGUGUGCUAGGCCAUUCCGAUCUAACGCACGGCAAAACUACUAACAUUUACUUGUCGGCCAGAUUCCGCCCCGACAGCACUCAUCUCCAAACUUAACCCAUUUGAUUGUUCCUCUUUGCUUCCAUUAGAUCUUUUGUUGGUGAAGAAGGUUCUGUAAGUGAUUCCUAAUUAUGUGCCUAAAGAUCCAUUUUUCUAAGGUUAAAUCUCAUUGUUCUUCCAUAAUGUUCAGGAGCUGGAUCAAGUCUUUGCAGUUCCUGAUGGUAGCUGGUAAAUUUGGUAGUUGUGCUUUUCAAGCAUUUAACACUCUCCCCUUAGGUUCUUAAAUUUUGCACUUAUCGUCUUGGUACUAUCAAUUUGAGGGUUGGGCAAAUUCCAUCCAUGUUAUAGAACUAGCACAAAAUUCUCAUGUUCCAACCAAUAGCUUUCAAAUCUGAAUAUCCUAGGCUUAGGAACAUUUGUGCUUGCCGUGAUGGUACAUGGAGUGUGAUAUGAGAUGUCUCUGGACAACCCUGAGGCAAAGGAGUUUCAAAAAAUAGUUGUCCAAGCAUUAGAUGUGAAGAACCAGUCUAAUCUUUCCAGUAAAGGAUUCUGUUGCUUGUUUGUCCAGGUAAAUUUGCAUCCUCUAAAGGGCAAUUCCACUAAACUAAGGUUGCUAAUGGUUUCAUUAAAAGCCAGCAUUUCCUGAAGAUUACCCCUAGCUUAUUCCUAUCUUCUCCUAUCUUCAAGCUUCCUGAUGAGGUUGAAGUCUCAGCCAUUUUUCGUCAUCAGGCAUAUUAAUCCUUUUGAACCAGUUCAAAAAUGCGGUUUUGCCUUCUCUAGUACAGGGUGCAUAGAUAUUGGUUAGGAUCCAGUUUUCUCCAAUCUACCUACAUGAGAAUUAUACUGAUUGGGCAUAAUCAUUUUGAAAGUCCAAGUGACCACUGAACUUGGAACUGUUCCAGAUAAUGUUAGUCCCUCCUGAGUUACCCACUAAUAGUAAGAACACAUAAUCAUCCAUAUAUGCUGGAUAGAAAUUUUAACAUAUGUAAUAUCGAAGAAUUCUUUCUAAGUUUCUUGUAGACAUAGAAUAUCACAUUUGGAUUUACAAAUCUUGCUUUUGACCGCAUCCCAUUUCCCAUCAGAGUUAAUACCUCUAAUAUUCCACGAUAGAAUGACCCAAUUCCUUUUAUGUUGUCCCUGAUUAUAGAUGCUCAUUGAUGAGAAGCCCAACAAAUCGCAUGUGUAAGAUACAAUUAUCCACAGGAUGUCCAAACCGAAAUAAAUAAACAUUCUAAUUAAGAUAAAGAUCACCAGGAUCAACCACAUGUUCAUAAGGGAUAAUAAAGAAGUCCACAUCCCCAAGACAUUACAGUUUAACAAAAUCUCAACCAUUCCCAUCAUGAUACAGGAUAAACUAAUAAUGAAGAUAGCAAAUAAGAUCUUGCUACUUCUUGAUCUUCUUGCGUGAUUCCUCGGAUUCAAUCUCAUCGAUCUUCUCUUUGCUUUUCUCUCUCUUGGAGUUGAUUACCUUCCUGGAGGUCUUGUGGCUUCCAAUGACUUGCUUGUUCUUGCCUUUGUUGCAUAAUGCAUCCUCAGACAGAGCUUGUUGAAUAGCUUGUUCAGGUCCACUCUGCGGGAAGCCAUCUCCGGUGAGAUGUUCGGCGUCUCCGAACUUCUCCAGGAUCCAGCGGCUAUCGGAACCGGAGACAUGGACAACACUGAUUGAGGUGUUAGGAAUUUUCCUGCCAACCGAGAUCGUUGGAUCGGCAUGCCUGCAGAUUUCCUCUAUGACUGCCUCAUGAGAGACGACGACCACCCGCUCACCUGUUGAUGCAACACACGACAGCUUGAAAUUCACCACCGGGUACAAGUUUUGACCAUACAGCAGAGAGCACCAGAAAUUACUAUGUGGAUCGGUGCUUACCCUUGUGCUUCUCGGCGAUUGCAUUCAAGCGGGAAACACAGCGCUCGGAAAGUUGAUCAAGACUCUCCCCACCACCCUGUCCAAAAGGAGAUGACUAGUGAGUAAUAUAUAGCUUUUACUUCAACUAAGACUAAUUAAGUACAACUUCGAGAUCAGAGGAGAAUGGAAAUUAGUUACAGGUAUUUCUUGGUCUCUGCCACCACGUGCGAAAGCCUUGUAAGCUUCAGAUCUCUUGGCAUCGUCAAUGGUCCAACCUUGGAACAAUCCCAUGUGCCUUUCCGUCAGUGCCCGAUCAAUCACCAGCUGAAACAGCACAGAAGCCCAUUUAUUCGGAUGAUAUAUAGAACACGAAUUCGUGAAGCGAGAAAAAUUAGCACAUCAAAAAACGUUCAUACAUCAGAAUCAGAUACGCAGCAAUGCGCUGCGAUCGUUUGCGCAGUCUGGGAAGCACGCUUCAAGUCAGAGGAGUAGACGGCAGCUGGCUUGGCUUCUUCCGACAGACGACGGGCAACCUUGAGGGUUUGAACAAAAUCAGAAUCACGUACAUAAUCUCAAGUCAUGACGAUCUCACAAAGUAUGGCGUACCUUGGCAGCUUGCUGCCUACCAGUUUCGUUCAGCUCCUGAUCGAUCCGUCCCUGUUGAAACUUAAAAUAAGCCUUAACACAUGUUGUAUUGCAUCGCAGAGGGAGAAUCAUAUCUAAGUGAUGCGAUAAGUAGCAAGCUGUGACAGGACAGGAUGAACAAGAAGCGACCUGAAUGAUGCGGGAGACGUUCCAAUCCGUCUGUCCAUGGCGCACCAACACCACCUCCGCGAAGUGCUCGCCGUGCGUCGAUGCAGGUGCCAUGAUCGAUCGGCCGGCGUUACUGCUGCAGAGGGAAGGGGAGAUGGAUGGUCUGGAACCUCUCUGAUGCUGUAUGAUCUAGCUGCCCUGCAGAGGGAAGGGGCGACUUUAUGGAGGCCAGAGGCACAAGGGAGGAAACGCCGCGGCGAAGACCUGGGAUUUCCCUCGACAGCACCAGGAGGCCAUCUCCAUGUACGAUUGUUGCUUGGACUCCAAUGCAUCUCCAUGUACGCGACCACGGCGAAAAGGCCAUUUCCGUCGAGCGCACCUCCAUGCGACGGUGGCGGGGGGUUGACUAAAAAAUUAGAAACACGGUUUGAGCCACAACAGCCAUUCCAACAGCAGCUUCCGGAAGGCUCUGGAAGGCUCUGGAAUCACAAGCAUAAUUCGUGUACGUUUUGAAGAUGGAAAGAUGGCGACCUGCUAGUUGACUUCCAACAGCAGGUUUGGGCAACACGCCAUUCCAGCAGCAGGUUUGGGCAACGCCAUUCGAGGAUCGGCUUCUCCAGGAAGUACGUGGCCAACUAAUAUAACCUGCAGUUGGUCGGCGGACCAAAUUAAAGAAGCUAUCCACUUUCUUCUGCAUCAAGACCUCCUGUUAACCGGCCCCAUCCACUUUCUUCUCCAUCAAGACCUCCGGGGUCCUGCGCGGACCAUUGGCGCGGCCACGUCGCCCUGUUUUCCCGACGUCGGAUCGUGCGAUCCCGUAGGCAUGUGGAAUUUUGCAAAAAAAACCUUCAGUUCUCCGCUAAUCUACUUCGGGUUUAGGGAGGACCCUCGCCAACUGUAACCACGUUCAAUUUAUUUGCGGCACACCCCUUUGGUUAAAUAAUAUUUCAACAUCAAGAAGAGAAAAUUCCAAUUCUGCGUCGCUUUUGAAAAAAACCACCUGCCUAUCAUUUUGCGAAGAACCCCACCGCAACCUCGCAGCAACACACACUUGGCCCCAAGCCACCGCUCCCUCCCAAUUCUCUCCACAUCCCCCUCUCUCUAACCCUCCCGCCCUACCUGACGGCUGCCGCACACUUUAGUUGGCAUUGUUAGUGUCUUUUGAUGUUCUUAAUGCCUGCUACUGGUUCAGAUUUAUUUCUUUCCCCUUCUGUAUUUAACUAGGUUUGGUAGUAGCUUGUAGCCUUGCCUUUAUUCAACCCUAGCACCAGUAAAUGUAGGCCAUGGAGUUAUAAAAAAUUGAUAAACCAGCCACUUCAAUAAAUUGGUGUCUCCCAAUUCUAACUCUUGGUGCUUAUACCAAAAGCAAGCAUCGGACUGAAUAUUUCUGCAAAAAAUUAGCUUCAAGAUCGCUAUCUACGAUAUUUCGAUCAUUUGAUUUCUUUUCCUUUUCUUUUUUUUUGCGAAACACCAUUUGAUUUCUUGAUGGUGAUGAGUUAACUGUGUUGUGAGGUGAGAUAAUCCAUUGUCUCAAAUCAUUCCUGAUGUUGAGACCUUUAGUAAAAUGGCAUUUUGAGAAUAUUGUGGAUUGCUUUAAUUUUUACAGCUAGUGCUUGCAAACUCUGUAUGUGUCAUUCAGACAGCUUGAUUGCAUAUGACCUUCCUCAACAAUACAUUCAUUUUAUGACAUGCUUUUCAGGUUAGGUUGGAGAAAAAGAGGGCAAACUGAAGAUUGCGCUAAUGAAAACAAAUUUUCAGCUUAUGCUCCAAUAAUUUUCUAAAUCCUAUUAUCAUUAAUUAGUUUGAAGAAACGAUGGGAUCUGUAACCUGGUAAAGCUACCCAUUUAUAUGGAGACUCAAAAGACUUUCUAAUUUGCGCAGGUCAGCAGUGAUUAAAACAUUGCAUAAUUCUUUCUAUUUAUUACCAUGUAGUUUCAGCUUUUGUACCCGUUGAUUUGUCUAUGAAAUUAUGUGCACCGGAUUAAGGAAAGGUUAUGCCAAAAAUGGUGCUAGCUCAAUGACAACAAGACGUGAGCAAUAUAACCUAAUUAUCCAAUUUUGGUUGGUGGACAUGUGAUUUCCACCGUCGAAACUCCAAAAUUACAUUAAAAAUUGGGCCGGAGAAAUUAUUACACAGCUGUUUACCGCACUAAACAAUGAACUUUCGUGGCAAAAGAAAAUAAUAAAAUGAAGGGUCGUAGACAUGCCUGUUUCCAAUUUCUCUCUUGACAGGCCAACAGACCAACAUUGAUGAGAGGGCUACUUAGACUCCCUGAUACAUUUCUCCUAGGAGAGGCCUCGGAAUCUGCUGAAUGUCUAACUGAAGGACUCUAUAGAAUAAAAGAGAAUGUCUGUAAGUAAUAAUCAUCAAAUUUAUUUGUUGAAAGCCUGCAUCAAUCAUCAAUUACACUGCAUUGUGUUAACGGUAGGCCAUGUUAGCUAUUAUGUAUCCAAAAAGAUCAAAUUAAAUUUGAACCAGAGAAUCAAGAAAGAGAUGAAACAGAUGAAACGACCUACUAUGAGCCAAGAAAUUAUCUGUAUGUUUAAACUCUGAAUUAUCAAACAAUUCUAAAUUAAGCUGGUUUACAUAAAAGGAAAAGGUGUGUACUCCGUAUGAGCAUGGGCUUCCUAUUUUUAAGUUUUAAACCUGCUGAAUCAGAACGAUUUUAUGGCAUAGAGGUACUGAAUUACUGAUAAAGAAAACAUUGCAGAGAACAGUAACAUAUACACAAUGAAGGCGGAUCGCACAGAUGGUAGCAUGGCGCAGGGUAAGAAGAAGGCACGGAGCGGCGUUUUUUUUUAAAUUGAUUUAAUUUAGAAUAAAUACCACAGCAUUCUCACGUGGUACCUCUGCUGCUGCACAAAUUAUAGCAAAGACCGUCCGCCGCACGCGUACUGCUUCUACACAGUCCCGUGUCAUAGGCACACCGCACACACGUAUGGCUGCACUACAAAGCCGUUCCCCUGCCGAUGCAGAAGCAGCAAGCCAGCAUUAUUAGGGUAGAAUCAAACACUUUACACUUCAGGGUUACAUUCACAACUGCCUAUGAGCAGGCAUUUACAAGCAGCAGUGCAAUGCUUCAAAUUUCAGUGUGGUAUUGUUUACCCACAGAGGAAUUUCUAUACAAGUUCAUUAUCAUUGCACUGACAAGUGAGAGCAUUGUAGUAAUGGAAGAAUGGAGGCAUGUUCAAGCGUAUCAAGGACUCGAGGUAGCCGAUUGUAUUGCCGUACGAACAAGAGCAGAGCAGCAUGUUUUCUUGCCAUCGCCGCCAAAUGCACUCUGCAGAAAGCCAUCUUCAUUGAUGUGGCCGACGUCCCCGAGC